This is a small nucleolar RNA of Acomys russatus (golden spiny mouse), 132 nucleotides long. RefSeq annotates it as small nucleolar RNA SNORA17. Lineage: Eukaryota; Metazoa; Chordata; Mammalia; Rodentia; Muridae. The transcript has a single exon. The record is from RefSeq and is a predicted model, not a curated record.
CCUGCUCCUAAAGGCAUUGCAGCUGUGACUGCUCUGUCACAUUUGCAUCAACAGGUGGCAGAGAGGAGAAAGGCUAUGUCUAUGACGCAUGUUCUGAACUAUGAACAUUUCAAUGAUUAGUAGCCUAACAUU